Molecule: long non-coding RNA, 492 nt
Organism: Dendroctonus ponderosae (mountain pine beetle)
Lineage: Eukaryota; Metazoa; Arthropoda; Insecta; Coleoptera; Curculionidae
Exons: 2
Source: RefSeq, a predicted model, not a curated record
AUCCGCCUCAACAAUAUAGAACUUAUCUACAAUAUUUAAUCUCUUGUGAAUUUGAACAUUUGCUUAUGAUCCCAGACGAAGAUCAAAGAAAAUAAACCCACAAACAACAACAAAAUUUAAGAAAUAUUCCAAUUUAAAAAAUAUCAUAGUUCUAAACUUAUGGAUGAAGACAUUCGUCACCUGAGAGUAAUGCUCGUAUGUGUUCUUUUUUAGGAAAAUUGAAUUUGAAUAAUUAACCAAAUAUACAGUCUGAAACACUACCUGCUCCACAAACUCCCCAUCCCAGAUUAAUUUGCUUAAAUUGCCAGUCUAUGUCGAUGAGUCUGCAAAAGAUUCAACAAGAGAUCCAAGCAUUAUAAUUAAUAACGUAUGAUUAAAUAAACUGCAAACUGAUAGAAGAAUUGACCAAAAACGUGACUAAUAACGUCGAUAGACUGAGAAGCAAUAAAUCGCCAAAGUAUCAUUGGAAAUUAAAUCAUGUGGCACACAUUU